Molecule: long non-coding RNA, 226 nt
Organism: Sphaerodactylus townsendi
Lineage: Eukaryota; Metazoa; Chordata; Lepidosauria; Squamata; Sphaerodactylidae
Exons: 3
Source: RefSeq, a predicted model, not a curated record
CUCCCCCUCUCCUUGAUUCAGAGUAUCCAGAUGUUUCACUUCCAGCCCAUACGUGUUUCUAUCAUCUACUUAAAAUUGACUGCAGGUGGAAAUGAAUAUUUUAAUUAUAAUUACGUCUGCAUAAGUGACUGUCAUUUUGCUCUUAAAUACCUUUUUAUCUCUAUUCCUGACCUCUCGUGGAGAGAGAAUGGAGAACUGUGAAAAGUAUAAUACACUCUUUGCAGGU